AUGCAGGAGACCCCUGACACCACCGUGGAGUCUCUUUUCUGUGGCCAGCUAGAGCUUUCUGAACCCACCUGCAUGAUGCACCACAUGAGGCCAAUUAAGUGUGUGGCAUUUGAAGGAACCUUAACUGGAAGGCGUUUCUAUGGUUGUCCAGUGCAGCAGAGUGAAGGUGUUAACUGUGGUGUUACUGAGUGGGUUGACAAGCCCUGGCAUCCAAUUCUUCAGAAUUGCUUGUCCAGGCUGUGGGACAUGUACCAUGAACAGAAUUGUGGCAGGGUAGUUGAUAAGCAGAAGUAUGAGAAGCAUUUGGCCAAGCUUAAGACUGAAAAUGACAAGCUGUGCAUUGAGUACACAAAGCUUGUCCAAGAUGUUUGA
Molecule: ribosomal RNA, 372 nt
Filed under: Triticum aestivum (bread wheat)
Lineage: Eukaryota; Viridiplantae; Streptophyta; Magnoliopsida; Poales; Poaceae
Description: partial small subunit ribosomal RNA
Source: RNAcentral